UAGAUACUUCCUCCAUCCCAAAUUUUUGUCUUAGAUUUGGGAACAUACGGAUGUAUCUAACUUGUCUUAGAUUUAUCUACAUAUGGAUGUAUCUAUUCACGUUUUAGUGUUAGAUAUAUCCGUAUCUAGAUAAAUUUAAGACAAGAAUUUUGGAACGAAGAGAGUAUUAC
This is a non-coding RNA of Triticum aestivum (bread wheat), 170 nucleotides long. NCBI's taxonomy places the organism in Eukaryota, Viridiplantae, Streptophyta, Magnoliopsida, Poales, Poaceae. The record is from Rfam.